AUAGAAAUAUUUAAUAGAGGUUAAUUCCAUAGAAAACCAGCUGCCCCUGGGGAGUAUGUUUUGCCUAUAUCACUUCUGUCAGCCAUACUGAAUAUCUGCUUUCAUGGCUGAGGUGGAGCCCACAGCGGGCCAGAGACCUCUAUCCUGCUCCUCCUCAGGCUUCCAGAAGGUUCCAGAAGGUUCUGGAAAGCCCAGUACUCCUUGAGGCCACCCCCAAAAGGGCCAUCUCUUUUGGUUCAGGAUUUCGGAACAAAUAUUCAGAGGAUAUUUUUGGCCUUACUGAUUAUAAUGCUUGAAUAUUAAGAAAAAUGCCAGUUAUAAGGAAAUUAAAAUUUCCCAGGACCAACUACUUCUGCCCUGGUUUCCUCAAAAAAGGGGACUAACAUUAAAAAAAAAAAAAGCAGAAAUCACUAGCCAUAUAAACUACUAAUGUUCUCUUCCUCAGAGUUCCUGCCAGACCUUGGACCUUAACUUGCUUCUGACACAGACUUUGCUAGAAGCUUCCAGAGCAGGGCUGAGCACCUACAGAUGACUGGAGAACACCAAAGGCAGGCCAGGUGGGAAUGGAUGGCGGGAAAAGCCCUGUGAAUCUCAAGGCACCACACAGGGCACAGAGGGAGACCCCAGGUAACAUGCACAUGGUCAAAAAAUGGAACAAUAUGAACAAGAUAGUAAGCAAAGUCUUACUGCAAUGCCCUUCCAGUUUGCCCCAGUACCAGCCCUGCCUCCUCCAGAUUUCACAUUUCAAGAAAAUCCUAGCACUCACCGGUCGGUAGUAAAAAUGUACCCCACGUGAUCCUUACAGCUUAACAGCA
This 815-nucleotide long non-coding RNA is filed under the name Homo sapiens (human). RNAcentral describes it as "HSALNT0388954". The record is from RNAcentral. Lineage: Eukaryota; Metazoa; Chordata; Mammalia; Primates; Hominidae.